GGUUUCUUGAUUUAGUAUUUAAGAAAUUUAACCUGCCCGCUGAAAUUAAUUUGAAGGGCCGCAGUAUUUUGACUGUGCAAAGGUAGCAUAAUCAUUAGUCUUUUAAUUGAGGGCUGGAAUGAAUGGUUGGAUGAGGUAAGAGCUGUUUUAUAUUAAUUGAAAUUGAAUUUAAUUUUUAAGUAAAAAAACUUAAAUGUUAUUAAGGGACGAGAAGACCCUAUAGAGUUUAAUAUAUAUAUACUAAAUUAACUUAGUUGAUAAAUAAUAUUUAGUUAUUGUAAUAUUUAUUUGAUUGGGGUGAUAAAAAGAUAAAUGAAACUCUUUUUUAAAUUUAAUAGUAUUUUUAGUUAAUUGAUCCAUUAUAAGUGAUUGAAAGAUUAAAUUACCUUAGGGAUAACAGCAUAAUUUUUUUUGAGAGUUCAUAUUAAAAAAAAAGAUUGUGACCUCGAUGUUGGAUUAGGAUUAGUUUAUAGGGUGUAGAUGUUCAAUAACUAGGUCUGUUCGACCUUUAAAAUCCUACA
This 521-nucleotide ribosomal RNA is filed under the name Oxyopsis sp. MN294. RNAcentral's name for it is "partial 16S ribosomal RNA". The stretch from base 393 to 521 matches the Rfam family "Bacterial large subunit ribosomal RNA", at positions 2473 to 2600 of the family's 2925-position model. The record is from RNAcentral. Lineage: Eukaryota; Metazoa; Arthropoda; Insecta; Mantodea; Mantidae.